UACGUAGGGUGCGAGCGUUGUCCGGAAUUAUUGGGCGUAAAGAGCUCGUAGGCGGCUUGUCGCGUCGGAUGUGAAAGCCCGGGGCUUAACUCCGGGUCUGCAUUCGAUACGGGCAGGCUAGAGUUCGGUAGGGGAGAUCGGAAUUCCUGGUGUAGCGGUGAAAUGCGCAGAUAUCAGGAGGAACACCGGUGGCGAAGGCGGAUCUCUGGGCCGGUACUGACGCUGAGACGCGAAAGCGUGGGGAGCAAACAGG
RNAcentral lists this ribosomal RNA (253 nucleotides) under uncultured bacterium. RNAcentral's name for it is "partial 16S ribosomal RNA". It matches the Rfam family "Bacterial small subunit ribosomal RNA", at positions 524 to 776 of the family's 1533-position model. The record is from RNAcentral.